UGGGGAAUAUUGGACAAUGGAGGAAACUCUGAUCCAGCAAUCCUGUGUGUGUGAAGAAGGUUUUAGGACUGUAAAACACUUUUAGUAGGGAAGAAAAAAAUGACGGUACCUACAGAAGAAGCAACGGCUAAAUACGUGCCAGCAGCCGCGGUAAUACGUAUGUUGCGAGCGUUAUCCGGAAUUAUUGGGCUUAAAGGGCAUCUAGGCGGUAAGACAAGUUGAAGGUGAAAACCUGUGGCUCAACCAUAGGCUUGCCUACAAAACUGUUGAACUAGAGUACUGGAAAGGUGGGUGGAACUACACGAGUAGAGGUGAAAUUCGUAGAUAUGUGUAGGAAUGCCGAUGAUGAAGAUAACUCACUGGACAGAAACUGACGCUGAAGUGCGAAAGCUAGGGGAGCAAACAGG
Molecule: ribosomal RNA, 407 nt
Filed under: Verrucomicrobiota bacterium
Lineage: Bacteria; Pseudomonadati; Verrucomicrobiota
Description: Verrucomicrobia bacterium partial 16S ribosomal RNA
Rfam family: Bacterial small subunit ribosomal RNA
Source: RNAcentral